RNAcentral lists this ribosomal RNA (240 nucleotides) under uncultured bacterium. Its description in RNAcentral is "partial 16S ribosomal RNA". It matches the Rfam family "Bacterial small subunit ribosomal RNA", at positions 333 to 590 of the family's 1533-position model. The record is from RNAcentral.
GUUGCCCUACGGGGCGCAGCAGUGGGGAAUAUUGCACAAUGGGGGAAACCCUGAUGCAGCAACGCCGCGUGAGCGAAGAAGUAUUUCGAUAUGUAAAGCUCUAUCAACAGGGAAGAAGAUGACGGUACCUGAUUAAGAAGCCCCGGCUAACUACGUGCCAGCAGCCGCGGUAAUACGUAGGGGGCAAGCGUUAUCCGGAUUUACUGGGUGUAAAGGGAGCGCAGACGGCAGGGCAAGUCU